CUGCUCCGCGGCGCAAUGGCGGCCGGUGGCAGGGCUCCGCUGCCCGGCCUGAGCCCCAUGAGGGGACAGAGCGCUGGCACAGCCGCCUCAGCCCGGGUCACCCUGGCCCUGCCCGGGCCCGCGUCCCCCGGAGCGCGCCCUGCAGCGCAGAACGCGGCCUCGGAGCCAGGAGCGGGGCCAAUGGCCUUGGCUCGGCAGCGGCGCCGGGAGGCGGCGGGCGGUGCCCUCAGGGCAGGAAAAAUCAUCCAACUCCUCCCAUCUUUGCCAGAAGCUUUGGUGUUUAGGCAGCCAAAGGCAAGAGGCCUCAGCACCAGGGCUCUGUCCUGGAGGGCUCUGCUCCUGCCCACGCUGUGGGUGAGCCAGGGCUGGCACAGGGAAUCGUGCAGGUACUGACCAGAGCUGCUGCCCUUUGGAGCCAUUUUAAAGGCUGUCCUUGCUGGAGCACCCUGGUCCCUGCCAUCCCCAAGCCCUGGGACACAGAGGGAGCCCUGUCCCAAGUGGCUUUGGCACCUUGGCAGGGAUGUGGCAGCAGCCCCAGAGCAGCUGGAGGAGAAAACCUCCCAGCAGAGACAGAUUGCAAUGGAGGCCAGAGUUGUGUUUGGAGCAGGGAGUGCUGGGAGCUGCAUCUGCCUGUGCUGCCACAGCCUGAGCACAGCCUGGGAAAAGGGACUGGGGGAGUUCUGGUGCCCCAGUGAGAAGAACACAAACUCAGCCAUUCAGCCUGACAGGCCCCUCCACCCAGAGCUCAGCACACAUCCUCAGAGCAGCCAGCAGGGAAGGGAGAAGAGGAUCCCUGUGGGAUGAGACUGGAGAGAGCGAGCAGAGGAGCGGCCUCGGGCUGGAGAAAGGCAAAGGGACCAACAUGGUGUCACCAGGGCACCUGUGAGGAACAGAAUGGGCACUUGGAGGCCACAUGGAGGAAGGGGAUGCACAGCUCUGUCUGCAGCACACCUCCAGUGGGACCUACCUGUGAAAGCUUUCCUUCACUUGUGCACUUGCAGCUGGAUCCCUGAAAAACUCCAAACUCCAUCCCACUGAUUUUCAGGUAUCUCUGAGGGCUACUGUCUGGGAUUUAAUACCUGUGGGAGAAGAUUGCCUUGCCUUUAAUGCUGCUGAUGGAUGAUGGCCUCAGGCUGGGGAGGGGAGGGAAGGGAUUUGGGGUGGCUGGGACAUACCUGCAGUUGUGUGGGAGCUCUGAACCGGGAAUUUCUGUGUGAGCCCCUGUGCAAACAGCCUGUGCCUCCAUUCCCAGGUCAUACCAGCUGCUCCUUGGGGUCCUUCUGGGCUCUUGGUGCUCUGUGUGGGCUGGAGCAUUUCCACGUGCCUGCUCAGAGCAGCCCCUGGCCGAGGAGCCACAGUGCAGGCACAGCUCCUCCCCUGCAGAUCCCAAAGACACGAGGGGCUGCUUGCCUUCAGGAGCUUCUGGCUCCUCCUGCCCUGCGCUCCCAGCCAGUUGGGACACGCUGAGGGAACACCAGGGAGCAUGGCUGGCAGCGAGCAGGAGACACCGAGGCCUCUGGGCCCAGAAACAGCCCCGGCCUCAGCAGCCACCGUCGCUUUGGCCUGGCAGCGCUCACGUGCGGGAAACGCCCCCUGCCACUCUCCAGAGGCACUUUGGCCACAGAGCAAGGGCACCCUCAGGACUUGUCUUGUUCACUUCUUCUGGGGAAGCCGAGGGACAUUGUGUGAGCACGUUUACAGCUGCCAGGUAAAUCCUGGAAAGGGCAGAAAAAUCAGGGUCAUGGGGAAGAGUUUGGUGCUGACAUGCUGAGUGCCAGCCAGUUGUGCCCUACGGCCAUUGCAGGGGCUGGUGUGUAAAGCAGCAUUAGCAGAAGGGAAGGAGCUGCAUUUGCAGAGGAGUUCUCUUACUGGCAGCAGUCAUUCCCAUCCCACACAGGGCCUUUGGAACAGCCCUGGGAUUGGCCCAGGUGUUUGGAGCAGGGUGCUGAGAGGACCAAAAUUCUGUGUUCAGUGUGCAGCUGAGCCAGUCAGUUCUCAGCAU
RNA transcript from Melozone crissalis (California towhee), 2002 nucleotides. RefSeq lists it as uncharacterized. NCBI's taxonomy places the organism in Eukaryota, Metazoa, Chordata, Aves, Passeriformes, Passerellidae. The transcript is spliced from 7 exons. The record is from RefSeq and is a predicted model, not a curated record.